CCCCUCUCAGGGUGACACCUGGAGAGUUUCCAGAACUCUACCAGUCUUGGCUAAGGGAAAGAAAGUCAAGCAGAGACUUACCCAUUCCAUUCCAAGCUUGGGCAGUGGCUAGCAAGUGGAAGGCAAUUUGCUACAAGU
Molecule: small nucleolar RNA, 138 nt
Organism: Tachyglossus aculeatus (Australian echidna)
Lineage: Eukaryota; Metazoa; Chordata; Mammalia; Monotremata; Tachyglossidae
Source: RefSeq, a predicted model, not a curated record